AGUGAACGCUGGCGGUAGGCCUAACACAUGCAAGUCGAACGGCAGCACAGUAAGAGCUUGCUCUUACGGGUGGCGAGUGGCGGACGGGUGAGGAAUACAUCGGAAUCUACUUUUUCGUGGGGGAUAACGUAGGGAAACUUACGCUAAUACCGCAUACGACCUACGGGUGAAAGCAGGGGAUCUUCGGACCUUGCGCGAUUGAAUGAGCCGAUGUCGGAUUAGCUAGUUGGCGGGGUAAAGGCCCACCAAGGCGACGAUCCGUAGCUGGUCCGAGAGGAUGAUCAGCCACACUGGAACUGAGACACGGUCCAGACUCCUACGGGAGGCAGCAGUGGGGAAUUUUGGACAAUGGGCGCAAGCCUGAUCCAGCCAUACCGCGUGGGUGAAGAAGGCCUUCGGGUUGUAAAGCCCUUUUGUUGGGAAAGAAAAGCAGCAGGUUAAUACCCCGCUGUUCUGACGGUACCCAAAGAAUAAGCACCGGCUAACUUCGUG
This 492-nucleotide ribosomal RNA is filed under the name uncultured bacterium. RNAcentral's name for it is "partial 16S ribosomal RNA". It matches the Rfam family "Bacterial small subunit ribosomal RNA", at positions 29 to 507 of the family's 1533-position model. The record is from RNAcentral.